Molecule: ribosomal RNA, 474 nt
Filed under: uncultured organism
Description: partial 16S ribosomal RNA
Rfam family: Bacterial small subunit ribosomal RNA
Source: RNAcentral
UACACUCCUACGGGAGGCAGCAGUGGGGAAUUUUGGACAAUGGGCGAAAGCCUGAUCCAGCAAUGCCGCGUGAGUGAAGAAGGCCUUCGGGUUGUAAAGCUCUUUUGUCAGGGAAGAAACGGUGAAAGCUAAUAUCUUUUGCUAAUGACGGUACCUGAAGAAUAAGCACCGGCUAACUACGUGCCAGCAGCCGCGGUAAUACGUAGGGUGCAAGCGUUAAUCGGAAUUACUGGGCGUAAAGCGUGCGCAGGCGGUUUUGUAAGUCUGAUGUGAAAUCCCCGGGCUCAACCUGGGAAUUGCAUUGGAGACUGCAAGGCUAGAAUCUGGCAGAGGGGGGUAGAAUUCCACGUGUAGCAGUGAAAUGCGUAGAUAUGUGGAGGAACACCGAUGGCGAAGGCAGCCCCCUGGGUCAAGAUUGACGCUCAUGCACGAAAGCGUGGGGAGCAAACAGGAUUAGAUACCCCGGUAGUCCCA